UAAGGAAUAUUGGACAAUGGUCGCAAGACUGAUCCAGCCAUGCCGCGUGCAGGAAGACGGCCCUAUGGGUUGUAAACUGCUUUUGUACCAGAGAAAACCUAUCUACGUGUAGAUAGCUGAUAGUAUGGUAAGAAUAAGCAUCGGCUAACUUCGUGCCAGCAGCCGCGGUAAGACGAAGGAUGCAAGCGUUAUCCGGAUUCAUUGGGUUUAAAGGGUGCGUAGGCGGGCUUGUAAGUCAGUGGUGAAAUCUCUCAGCUUAACUGAGAAACUGCCAUUGAUACUGCAGGCCUAGAGUAUAGAUGACGUUGGCGGAAUAUGACAUGUAGUGGUGAAAUGCUUAGAUAUGACAUAGAACACCAAUUGCGAAGGCAGCUUACUAUAUAAUUAUUGACACUGAGGCACGAAAGCGUGGGUAGCGAACA
This 422-nucleotide ribosomal RNA is filed under the name uncultured bacterium. Its description in RNAcentral is "bacterial SSU rRNA". It matches the Rfam family "Bacterial small subunit ribosomal RNA", at positions 355 to 774 of the family's 1533-position model. The record is from RNAcentral.